GCUGUGAUCGUAUAGUGGUCAGUACUCUGCGUUGUGGCCGCAGCGACCUCGGUUCGAAUCCGAGUCACAGCA
Molecule: non-coding RNA, 72 nt
Organism: Apaloderma vittatum (bar-tailed trogon)
Lineage: Eukaryota; Metazoa; Chordata; Aves; Trogoniformes; Trogonidae
Source: Rfam